This is a transfer RNA of Aspergillus fumigatus Af293, 74 nucleotides long. It matches the Rfam family "tRNA". From Rfam's summary of the family: Transfer RNA (tRNA) molecules are approximately 80 nucleotides in length. The record is from Rfam. Lineage: Eukaryota; Fungi; Ascomycota; Eurotiomycetes; Eurotiales; Aspergillaceae.
GGUCGCUUAGCUCAGUCGGUUAGAGCGUGGUGCUAAUAACGCCAAGGUCGCGAGUUCGACCCUCGUAGUGACCA